This 130-nucleotide ribosomal RNA is filed under the name Bacteroidales bacterium. RNAcentral describes it as "partial 16S ribosomal RNA". It matches the Rfam family "Bacterial small subunit ribosomal RNA", at positions 1395 to 1533 of the family's 1533-position model. The record is from RNAcentral. Lineage: Bacteria; Pseudomonadati; Bacteroidota; Bacteroidia; Bacteroidales.
CGUCAAGCCAUGGAAGCUGGGGGUGCCUGAAGUUCGUGACCGCAAGGAGCGACCUAGGGCAAAACUAGUAACUGGGGCUAAGUCGUAACAAGGUAGCCGUACCGGAAGGUGUGGCUGGAACACCUCCUUU